This 253-nucleotide ribosomal RNA is filed under the name uncultured bacterium. RNAcentral's name for it is "partial 16S ribosomal RNA". It matches the Rfam family "Bacterial small subunit ribosomal RNA", at positions 524 to 776 of the family's 1533-position model. The record is from RNAcentral.
GACGUAGGGCGCGAGCGUUGUCCGGAUUUAUUGGGCGUAAAGAGCUCGUAGGCGGCUUGUUGCGUCGACCGUGAAAACCCGUGGCUUAACUGCGGGCUUGCGGUCGAUACGGGCGGGCUGGAGUUCGGUAGGGGAGACUGGAAUUCCUGGUGUAGCGGUGAAAUGCGCAGAUAUCAGGAGGAACACCGGUGGCGAAGGCGGGUCUCUGGGCCGAUACUGACGCUGAGGAGCGAAAGCGUGGGAAGCGAACAGG